GACCCAUGGGCGUUCCAGGUGCUCAAGGUCUGAGUGGACGCAAAGGAGAGAGAGGACCCAUGGGCGUUCCAGGUGCUCAAGGUCUGAGUGGACGCAAAGGAGACAAGGGCUUCCAAAGAAGAGGUGGACCCAAAGGAGACAUUGUAGACUCCGACGUGGAGGGGCUAGCUGGUGAGAAAGGGGAAAAGGUAUGUCUGGAGAAUCUGGCACUAAAGGACAGCACAGAGUGAGGAGACCUUGGACAUAAUGGUCCAACAUGGAGACUCUGGGAAGCCAGGUGAUGUAGGACCCCCUGGACUGCCUGGUCCUCGGGGGUUGAAAGGCAUGAGCGGUGUGCAUGGCAGGCCGGGUAUUGAGGGUCCACCGGGACAAGAUAUAUCUGACCAGCAUAUUAUUGAUGUGGUAUAAAGAAUGUUGCAAGAGAGGCUGGCAGCAGUAGCAGUGAGCACUAAAAGGGCUGUGCCGUUGAACAACCGGCUAUUCUGGUCCUCCGUGAUUAAUGGUUCCACAAGGACCACAUGAUUUGCCUGGUUCCCGAAGAAUUCCUGGAACGAUGGGAGCUGACAGACGGAUUGGAAACACAUGUCUUAAAGGUAGGGACAUGUUUAGUUUCAUCUACAGUAAUGUGUGUGUAUACAUAUGC
Long non-coding RNA from Nerophis ophidion (straightnose pipefish), 643 nucleotides. RefSeq lists it as uncharacterized. The record is from RefSeq and is a predicted model, not a curated record. Lineage: Eukaryota; Metazoa; Chordata; Actinopteri; Syngnathiformes; Syngnathidae. The transcript has 7 exons.